Molecule: ribosomal RNA, 481 nt
Filed under: uncultured bacterium
Lineage: Bacteria
Description: bacterial SSU rRNA
Rfam family: Bacterial small subunit ribosomal RNA
Source: RNAcentral
GAUGAACGCUGGCGGCGUGCCUAACACAUGCAAGUCGAACGGAGUUGUCACCAUGAAGUUUUCGGAUGGAAUGGAGGCAACUUAGUGGCGGACGGGUGAGUAACGCGUGGGUAACCUGCCUCAUACUGGGGGAUAACAGCUGGAAACGGCUGCUAAAACCGCAUAAGAUCGCAUCACCGCAUGGUGAAGCGGUUAAAUAUCGAAAGAUAGGUAUGAGAUGGGCCCGCGUCUGAUUAGCUAGUUGGUGAGAUAAGAGCCCACCAAGGCGACGAUCAGUAGCCGGCUUGAGAGAGUGACCGGCCACAUUGGGACUGAGACACGGCCCAAACUCCUACGGGAGGCAGCAGUGGGGAAUAUUGCACAAUGGGGGAAACCCUGAUGCAGCGACGCCGCGUGAGUGAAGAAGUGCUUCGGCAUGUAAAGCUCUAUCAGCAGGGAAGAAGAUGACGGUACCUGACUAAGAAGCCCCGGCUAACUACGU